Molecule: ribosomal RNA, 467 nt
Filed under: uncultured bacterium
Lineage: Bacteria
Description: partial 16S ribosomal RNA
Rfam family: Bacterial small subunit ribosomal RNA
Source: RNAcentral
GACGAACGCUGGCGGCGUGCUUAACACAUGCCAGUCGAACGGAAAGGCCCUGCUUUUGUGGGGUGCUCGAGUGGCGAACGGGUGAGUAACACGUGAGUAACCUGCCCUUGACUUUGGGAUAACUUCAGGAAACUGGGGCUAAUACCGGAUAGGAGCUCCUGCUGCAUGGUGGGGGUUGGAAGUUUCGGCGGUUGGGGAUGGACUCGCGGCUUAUCAGCUUGUUGGUGGGGUAGUGGCUUACCAAGGCUUUGACGGGUAGCCGGCCUGAGAGGGUGACCGGCCACAUUGGGACUGAGAUACGGCCCAGACUCCUACGGGAGGCAGCAGUGGGGAAUAUUGCACAAUGGGCGGAAGCCUGAUGCAGCAACGCCGCGUGCGGGAUGACGGCCUUCGGGUUGUAAACCGCUUUCGCCUGUGACGAAGCGUGAGUGACGGUAAUGGGUAAAGAAGCACCGGCUAACUACGUG